RNAcentral lists this ribosomal RNA (440 nucleotides) under uncultured bacterium. Its description in RNAcentral is "partial 16S ribosomal RNA". It matches the Rfam family "Bacterial small subunit ribosomal RNA", at positions 339 to 795 of the family's 1533-position model. The record is from RNAcentral.
CCACGGGAGGCUCCAGUGAGGAAUAUUGCACAAUGGGGGGAACCCUGAUGCAGCAACGCCGCGUGGAGGAUGACGCAUUUCGGUGUGUAAACUCCUUUUAUAUGUCAAGAAAAUGACGGUAGCAUAUGAAUAAGCACCGGCUAACUGCCGUGCCAGCAGCCGCGGUAAUACGGAGGGUGCAAGCGUUACUCGGAAUCACUGGGAGUAGAGGACGCGUAGGCGGGUUGGAAAGUCAGGUGUGAAAUCCUACAGCUUAACUGUAGAACUGCACUUGAAACUUCUAAUCUAGAGUAUGGGAGGGGGAGAUGGAAUUAGUGGUGUAGGGGUAAAAUCCGUAGAUAUCACUAGGGAUACCUAAAGCGAAGGCGAUCUCCUGGAACAUUACUGACGCUAAGGCGUGAAAGCGUGGGGAGCAAACAGGAUUAGAUACCCGAGUAGUC